GACGAACGCUGGCGGCGUGCUUAACACAUGCAAGUCGAACGGAAAGGCCUGUCCUUCCUUGUGUUGGACGGGUACUCGAGUGGCGAACGGGUGAGUAACACGUGAGUGAUCUGCCCCCAACUUGGGUAUAAGCCUGGGAAACUGGGUCUAAUUCCCGAUAGGACUGCAGGGUGGUGCCUGUGGUGGAAAACGAUUUUCUAGUGGUUGGGGAUGAGCUCGCGGCCUAUCAGCUUGUUGGUGGGGUAAUGGCCUACCAAGGCGGCGACGGGUAGCCGGCCUGAGAGGGUGGACGGCCACAUUGGGACUGAGAUACGGCCCAGACUCCUACGGGAGGCAGCAGUGGGGAAUAUUGCACAAGGGGCGGAAGCCUGAUGCAGCGACGCCGCGGGGGGGAUGACGGCCUUCGGGUUGUAAACUCCUUUCGACCGCGAGGAAGCCGCCUGGUUGGAAGGGUGGUGACGGUAGUGGUAGAAGAAGCACCGGCUAACUACGUG
Molecule: ribosomal RNA, 494 nt
Filed under: uncultured bacterium
Lineage: Bacteria
Description: partial 16S ribosomal RNA
Rfam family: Bacterial small subunit ribosomal RNA
Source: RNAcentral